UCUCCGGUUGCUGCCGGCCGUCUCCGGCGCCGCCGCACGCUGGCGUAUCUCUGCUCUGGCCUCCUCUUCUGGUUUCCCGCAGCCACGAUUCGCUAUUGCCCCCUUCCGCACAAACCCACGAAACCCUAGCCCACCGUUCGGCUGCCGGCGCGGCGCCUGUUCACCCGCGCCUCCGGCUGCACCUCCUCGCCGAUCUCCACUUUGACUCCCCGGAUCAACCGCGCUGCCUCGAUCGCAUCUUGGACCCCUCGCCUUGGUCCUUCUCAGCACCAUCAACCGCGAGCUACUCAUGCGGUCGGCGUCGGUCGCUCUGCACCGCCACUCCGACGUGCUCGUCGACGUGCUGCCUCCCGUGGUGGAAUCCAGCAUCUCGCUGGUCGCUUCGUCGGUGUAACUCUUAACGAUUUGUACUCGAGCAUCUAGACCUGGGAUGUUUAUUGUGGUGCUAUGUUGCUGAUGUUUUCAUGUCUUCUACCUUGACGCUAGGGGGAUGGUUUUGUGGACGCAACCCAGUGUCAACUACAGCACUGUAAGCUAAACCUUCCUCCCUUCUCUGUCUGCGGUGACGGAGUCGUGUGUUACAAAGAGGAAAUUAUGUACUGGCAGUUUGACUUGAUUAUUUGAGUUAACAGCUCUGUGUAGAGUUGUCACCGGAUAGAAAAUUUUCACAAGAGGCUUUUGCACCGUACUCAAAUGUCAGCCACUAAGCCAUGAUUGGAAUCCUACUCUAUCUUACUUUUAUUAACCAAUGUCCAGAUGUAGAAAGGUGGGUACUAAUGUACUGUACAUUUAUCAUGUCAUAUUUCCUUCUCUACAUUUUCAUUGAGUUAAUACUUUACCUCUAGAGUUUAGAAGCUAUGAUGAUUUGGACUUUGUAAUCAGUACAUGUCAUGUACCUUCUACAUAAUGGGUUAAUUACUACUGGGAGGAUGGCCAGGAUGUCAUGGCUGUAGGGCAUUGAGAUGCUGAAUUGGGAAGGGACUAGAUGAGCAGAUGGACUAAAUAUUCUCCGUCUGCUAGUUGUGUCAAGAGAUAAUUGUUUCCUUCGCUGUAGCUAUAUUGUGUAUUUGAUCACUGUCUGUAUUGUGUAUUUGAUCAUUGUAUGCUAAUCACAUAGCAUGUCCACUGUGUGCAUACUAAUUUUAUUGGCCUAUAGGCUAUAGGUUUCGAGUUUUAUAACUUACCAAGAGAGUGCAUUACUACAUACAUUUUGUUAGCCGACUGUUCACUUUUUUGUGCACCAGUUUUUACUGUAUAUGAUCUGGAUGGACAUUUGGAUGCUCUUAAUUUCUGAAGAAUCAUGCACAUCAGUCUAUGCACAUUUCAGGACUAUGUGUCCUAAAUCCCAGUCUAUGCUAUUAAUGAGAGUAGUUACUAACUUUUUGGCUUUCAUCCUUUUGUAUUUUAGGGUGUCGGAUGCUUUCCAUUUUUGUACUUUUUUUUCUAUCUUCUAUGAUGAUUUCUUCCAAAAUCGAUCACCAUUUGACCCUCAAGUAUAAGUACUCUGAAGCGUUUACUCCAUUUCAGGCCUUGGAUAACUGUAGCUGGAAGAUGAGAUUAUGGAAAACGAAUUUAAACUUGAUCUCCAGGUGCAUAAUCUUGUUUCUGAGAUGUCCUCUCCCCAGGGGUUCUUUAAUGCUGCAGCCGUCCCAAAUUCAAAGGUCAAAAUAACCUAGAACUCAUCCUUUCUGGUGAAGUGCUUGAUUCUAGUUCUGCUCUGCCAAUUGGCAAAGCUAAGGUGAAUCAUUAAUGUUGCCGCUGCUGGUCCGACAGUCGCUUCGCUGGUGGUGCUGCUGCAUCAGUCGUAGCUGCCACUGAGGCUCUCUGCUACUUCUCCUACAGAGUAAGAACCUCCACCCCCGCUGCUAAUACUCAUGAGUCCCAAUAUUUUGCUCCAAACUCAUUUUUUGCACUGUGUCUGAAAUUCUUGAAUUAACUAGUUUCAGUUCCUUUAUGGUAAAUUUUAUCGUGAGUCCCAAUUUUAUCAUCGUAAAUAUAUUGGACAUGUUACAGUUACACAAUCAAACAUGAUUUGAAUUUAUUGUGUUCUCAGCUACUCAACUUAGCUCUAAUUCUGAACAUACAUUAUGUAGGCUCUUUCACUUCUUGCACGCUCCAUUGAGGCAGAUUCAAGCACAGUUAUCUCGUGGGUGUUUUAUCUUCAUAUUUACUAUCAAAAGGAUGAAGGACUUGGAACAUUUUCAGUGAACUGCAGGAGGGUGGGCGGAGGGCGCGCUCAUCGGUGCUCUGGCAUCCUGCUCGACGAGGAAGAGGGCUUGGUGUCGGGGACGGGAACCUGGUUGCGGUGUCGGAUGCAGGGCGCAGCUGGCGCAGCUUCCUCUAGCCCAAACUCCAUGACAACUUUCUUCGUCGGUGGCAGAUGAACCCUGUUGUUCAUGAUGUGGAGAUGAACCCUGUUGUGUAUUUUAUCUAAUGGUUUCAAACCAUGUUGUUCAUGAUGUGGAGAUGAACCCUGUUGGUCGUGUAAGUUAGAUGCCUGGAUUGUGAAUCCUUGAAUGUUUCAAAAUGUUGGUUUCAAACCUAAAUUGCUUGGAAAUAUAGGUUUUAAACAUUGCUUGA
Molecule: long non-coding RNA, 2580 nt
Organism: Lolium rigidum
Lineage: Eukaryota; Viridiplantae; Streptophyta; Magnoliopsida; Poales; Poaceae
Exons: 4
Source: RefSeq, a predicted model, not a curated record